AAGUCGUAACAAGGUUUCCGUAGGUGAACCUGCGGAAGGAUCAUUAACACGUAUCCAACGUUAAAUCAACCGUGCUCGUUGAGACCGUUCGAAGAUCUUUUUGUUUGAGACCUCUUCUGGUAACACCGGAGGAUUAACGUAACCCGAACAACUGUUAACAAUGGAUAUCUUGGUUCUC
RNAcentral lists this unclassified non-coding RNA (178 nucleotides) under fungal sp. Its description in RNAcentral is "partial internal transcribed spacer region". The stretch from base 1 to 46 matches the Rfam family "Eukaryotic small subunit ribosomal RNA", at positions 1786 to 1831 of the family's 1831-position model. Lineage: Eukaryota; Fungi. The record is from RNAcentral.